AUGCAACUGAAUCUCAGACAUGACCUGGAACAAGACCCGAGAUUAUCGCCAUACACCCCAUAUAUCUAUCUUUUGUUCCUGCUGGAUUUGCCUCCUGUUGAAAUAUGCACACACGGAACAUUUUUCUCCUGCCCAAAUCUAGGAGGCCCUUUCUUGGGAGUUGGCGUUCUCCAUCCGUCCUCAGAACGUGGCCCUCGUCCCUGGCGAUUGACAGGCGGACCGACAGAGGUGGGACCUCUCGCGGCUUCGAGGAAGGUAUGGACGGGUCUUCUCGUUCUUUUUUGUGACAGAGAACCAGAACAUCUCACAGUAGGACGUUUGUUUAUUGGCAUCUCGGUGGUGAAAUUCCUCUAAAAAAUAUAAUACUAAGAUAUAUUUUUGACGGCGUUUCAAGAUAUAUUUUUUUCCUCCCAUGAUAUUAAUAUCUUAGGAAACAUGUCCAAACUAUUCAAGUCCUGCAGGGAAAAUAAUUAAAUCGGGAUCUUCAUAGUUGAAAACCCAUACUUAGCUUGGUAAGGUAAGACUUUACUUUGGACAGCAGUUUUAGGAAGAGAGUGGCAUGACUUUCCCACCACAAUUAUACAAGUCGAAUAGGAAACAGAUUGUCUUAGCAAGUUACGGAGGUUAACAAUGGUUGGUAAAGCCAUCUCGAUCCUGGUUUGCAGACAUGGCUUCAUCGUGGUUUAAGAAUUCCAAUAAUCAUGUUUAAUCAUGGGCCUUGCAUCACAUGAUGUCUCUGCUUGGAUUUGGUGUUGUGUCUCCCCCGUCUAAUACUAUCAUCCCAUUUUUUUGAGUUGAACUUCAUGUAUCCUCCUAACCUUGAACAUACUUGCCUCAUUUCAUCAUCAUUGAUGUUAAGUCCAGAUCCGGAGUUGACUGGGUUCAGUGCUGUCUGGAUAAGGGUGAACUACAACUCCCAGAUCCAAGGUCAAUCACCCCCAAACCAGGCCCAUAUGCACAGUUGGCCAUGUUGGGUCUGUGUGCCAAAUUUGGUCCAGUUUUGUAAUUAGUGAGGGUCGCAAUGGUCUGUGAGGCGAAUCGCAUGAAGGUACUGAAAAUCUCAUAAUCCUUGGUCAAUCCUCCCUCAAACUGCUGCAGGGUGUAAAGUGUAUCAUUUGGGAUAUGUGUGCCAAGUUUGGUUCAGUUCUGUCAUUUGUGGCAAUUGAAGUGUUCUCAAGAAAUGAGUGAAGGUACUGGAAGUCCCAUCAUUCUUGGUCCCCUCCCCAAUUUGCCCCAGGAUGGAAAGCCAACCCAGGAUUUUAUAGUAUAUUUAUCAUAGGUGACCUUAUUUGUUUUAUGACUCGUUUUAUUGUUGAUUGACUUGCUUUAUUGUUGUGUUUUUAUAUUGUCUGUUGCCUGGGCUUGGCCCCAUGUAAGCCGACCUGAGUCCCUUCGGGGAGAUGGGACGGGGUAAAGAAAUAACAUUAUUAUUAAAUUAUUAUAAAGGGGUUCUUGGGGGUUCUGUGUGCCAUGUUUGGUUCAGCUCCAUCACUGGUGUGUGUCGCAGUGGUCUGUGGGAGCUGAAGCGAUUGAAAGUACUGCAAAUCCCAUCAUCCAUAACCCAUCAUCCCCCAUACGGCACCAGGACAUAAAGUGGGUCAUGGGAGUUAAGUGUGCCAAGUUUGGGCCAGGUCUGUCACUGGUGUGUGUCGCAGUGGUCUGUGGGAGCCGAAGCAAUUGAAAGUACUGCAAAUCCCAUCAUCCAUGGGUCAUGGGAAUUAAGUGUGCCAAGUUUGGACUAGGUCCAUCAUUCCUGGCGGUCACAGUGGCUUGUGGAAGUGGCGGCUAAUCAGAAAACUGCCACAUACCCAGGUACAUACACACACAUACCUACAUCCAUACAAACACACCCCACCUUCUUCCAUGGAGAUAUUGCAAUGAUCACACGUCCCUUAAUCCUCGCACCAUCGAACCUUAUGCUUUGGGCUUGGUUCCACCUCUUCCACAUCUACAUUUGCCGGUUGUUGGGUUUAGUCCAGAUCCGUCGUCGGCUGGGUUCAGAGUUCUCUGGAUAAGGGUGAACUACAACUCCCAGAUCCGAGGUCAAUUACUCCGAAAACAGGCCUGUGUGGCCAUGUUGGGUCUGUGUGCCAUGUUUGGUCCAGGUUUGAU
This 2112-nucleotide long non-coding RNA is filed under the name Anolis carolinensis (green anole). RNAcentral's name for it is "lncRNA (ENSACAG00000039779.1)". The record is from RNAcentral. Lineage: Eukaryota; Metazoa; Chordata; Lepidosauria; Squamata; Anolidae.